Molecule: long non-coding RNA, 1931 nt
Filed under: Pogona vitticeps (central bearded dragon)
Lineage: Eukaryota; Metazoa; Chordata; Lepidosauria; Squamata; Agamidae
Description: lncRNA (ENSPVIG00000013221.1)
Source: RNAcentral
AACCUUUACCUAAGUCUGAAUUGACUUGCUGGAUCAUAGUUACAAGCAAAAUAGCCUUCUGAAGCGCCUUCUCUUGUUAUUCUGUGUGGAGAGCUGAAUUCACAAAAAGUAAAAAGAUAUGAAAGUGUAAUUUUAAGCUGCACAGCCAGAGGAAGAUGAAUUAACAUCAAGCUAGCUGGCUGUUCGAUUUUUUUAGUGGUCUACUAAAAGUAUCUGCUCUUGCACAUGAAAGCCUACAUGUAUGAAAAAUAGUUGAAGAUGAUGUUAAUAACCAUGCUGCCAUUUCGAGGAAGUUAACAGACCUAGGACCAGUUUCCAGAGCUGUGCUUAGUUUGUCAAUAGAAUAGAAUAGUCAUAUUCCAUCCGUCAGAGAGACAACGUCUUUGUUCGGAUAAAGUGAUAUAUAUUUUUUUCUUUUGGACCAUAUCUUUCUUUUAAUCCUCUAUUCGUGCCAAGGAACUAUUUAUUAAGCGGCUUCACUCCCGGGGUCAGCAGAGGCCUCCUUUCUUGCCGCUUUCAACUGGAAGGCAAAGUGGUUCAGUCCAUUCCCUCUCCUCGGGACGGGUCCAGGAAGCUUCGAGGCCCAAGUUUUCGUCUUCGUGUUUUGAUUUUUGCAUUCGGCCCGGGUGUGUGUGUGUGUGUGCUUUCUUUCAUCCUGCAAGCUACGAGCUGAGGACCAGGCCUCCCCCUUGCUGAGUUCCCGAGACGGUUCUUCGGAGAAAGGCUUGGGCACAAAGGGCGGAGAAGGGGCGCGGAGGGGUCACACCUCGGGGUUCGAGGCCCAUGUGGGGCGGUUGGGGGGGCAGUGUUUUAACCUGCUCUUCUGAAGGGAGGCGGCCUGGACGGCGGGGCCCUCCCUUCCUUAAUGCUUCUUCUCCCCACCCCCGGGCAUGAGCGCUGCAAAACAGGCGCGUCGUCGGGAGUGGGAUUCGCCCUCAAGGGAGGCGGCCCGACUUCCGCCCUAAAAGAACAUGGCCUGCCUGGCAACGUCCCACUUCCUCCCUCAAAGAACAGGGCCUGCCUGGCUCCGCGUCGCUGUUAUUGGGAGUCGGGAGCGCCGGCGACGUCAUCGGUCCGCGCCGUCCGAGGUGGAGGGGGGAGAGCAGGAUGCUGAGCCGUCUCCAGGAGCUGCGCCGGGAGGAAGAGACGCUGCUGCGGGUCAAGGCGGCGCUGAACGCCCAGCUCAACCGCCUCAAGGUGGAAGAGCUGGCUCUUCAGUCCAUGAUCAAUGCAAGGGAAGAGAAUAUGCCCAUCUCUUCUGCGGCUCUAACGGAAGAACAUCAAAAUGAGCAGAUGGACAAUGAAGCAGCUAUCAAUCAGACUAAACUGCAGCUACAAAUGUGUAUCAGUGAAGAAGAGGAGGAGGAAGAGGAAGAAGAACAGGAAUCGGAUUCCUAAAGUGGGGCAUACAGCAGUCUGGCUACCCUUCCCCACCUCCCACUCAGGAACCUCCCUGUUUUCCAUUUAAAAAAAAAUAUGACUGUACGAGACUUUGCCUGGUGCUGCAGAGAUCCGGCUGUACUAAGAAAUGCAACAGCAUUUCCCAAAGCUUCCAGAAGUGAAGAUAAACUGUUGGUAGGAAUGUGGUGUUGAUUCAUAACUAUGUAGCAUGUUUUAUCCUUAACACACAAACACACUCUUGGAGCCAAGUAGCAUUCAGGAGAUGCCAGGACACAGCUCUCAAAGCAAUAAUUUCUCCAUGAAACAUCUAUGGCUGGUAAAAAUGAUAAUUCUAAACAAACGGCAGCAGCAAAACCACAUUAGGUAAAACUGUUCAAACUAUAAAACAAAGGAAAAAAGAACUAAUCCAGGACUCUGUGCAUGUAGCUAUUUGGUGGGUUUGCUGUGGCAUAAAACCACUACUGAUAAUGAUCUCUAACCAUCUUUUGUUCGUUGUAUAAACCUUUGAACACAUCAUUAAUUGUCUGCAA